ACAACAUUAGAGCCGUCGGUCUACCGAGUAAUACAACCCGUUCGGUGGAAGAUCUUCCCUUUGCCGC
RNAcentral lists this microRNA precursor (67 nucleotides) under Bombyx mori (domestic silkworm). RNAcentral describes it as "mir-2774 microRNA precursor family". It matches the Rfam family "mir-2774 microRNA precursor family". Lineage: Eukaryota; Metazoa; Arthropoda; Insecta; Lepidoptera; Bombycidae. The record is from Rfam by way of RNAcentral.